This 484-nucleotide ribosomal RNA is filed under the name Sturnophagoides bakeri. RNAcentral's name for it is "partial 12S ribosomal RNA". Lineage: Eukaryota; Metazoa; Arthropoda; Arachnida; Sarcoptiformes; Pyroglyphidae. The record is from RNAcentral.
AUGGUUAACUUUAUGGGUGAAAUUUUAAAGUAAAGUGUGGGAAGUAGAGGAAGUGUAACUUUUAUGGGGAAUAGGAUUAGAUACCCUAGUACUUUUAGGGUUAUUAUAAAGUAGUAAAUAAUUUUUAUUAAACUUAAUUUUUCUGGCGGUUUAUUACCCUUUCACAGGAAUUUGUUAAUUUUGAAAGAUAGCCCGCUUUUAUUAUAACCAAUUUAAAUUUUAUGUACGGUUGUUUAGCUUUAAUUUAAUUAUUUUUGCAAAAAAAUUAUUUUUGUAAUUCAGACCUUUGUGUAGAGUAUAAAUUGGUUUUUAAUGAGUUACAAUAAUAAGAGGUGUUUUUUAUAUAAUAUGGAAUUUGGAUGUGAAAGUAAAAUAAAAAUAAAAUUUUUAUUUGAUUGGGACCUAAUAAAAGUACAUAUCGCCCGUCGCUCUUUUGAUAGAUAAGUCGUAACAAAGUAGGAGUACUGGAAAGUGUUUCUUGUUU